This is a long non-coding RNA of Choloepus didactylus (southern two-toed sloth), 1066 nucleotides long. RefSeq lists it as uncharacterized. NCBI's taxonomy places the organism in Eukaryota, Metazoa, Chordata, Mammalia, Pilosa, Megalonychidae. The record is from RefSeq and is a predicted model, not a curated record. The transcript has 4 exons.
GGUGAAGCUCCAACUCACUGGUAUUUCCACAUUUUCCGGAGAGAACUAGAAGAGUCUGCUGAAUAACUGAGCUCCAGACCACUGGCUCCACAGUACACCAGGGAGGUCACACCUCAGAGAUUCAGUGUCAGAGAGGCCUCUGUAGACAGGGACGGCAUGCACUCGUCAGUUGGCUCUGCUCAAUACCUGGAGUUCUGGAUAAUGAGGAGCACAUUCUGGGCAGAACAGGGUGCUCUCCUGCUGCAGCUCUUGGCAGCAGAGAGGAGUGUGGAAAGGCUAACCCAGGAGAAUAAAGCAGAAAUGGAGAGAAGCCUGGGAGAAAAGGAACUCUUUGUUGGGUGCGACGAGCAGGUCUGCAGACAGGACUCUCCCAUCUUCUCACCUACUCUUCAAGAAGGGAGACCGGUUUGGCCAACUGGUGGCCUCCGGCAGGAAAAGCAACCUGGCACAAUCCCCGCAGGCCAUGGAAACAGUCGUCUGCUUCUCUUCUUCUUGGAACAGAAGGAUGCUGAGUUUCAGACCUUUGCUUCUCUCCUGACAUCUCCUGGAGCAAGCUCCUUUUGACCUGUUCAGGUUGGAGGGAGGCAGAGCAUCUCAGUGGUCAAAAACCUUGUCCUUGGAGACAGGUGGCUUUAGGUUUCAUUCCUCGCUUUGUAGCCUCAGGCAAGUGACUUUACCACCAAGUCUAAGUCUCCUGUUUGUAAACCGAGUAGAACAAUUCCUACGUUAUUGGAUUUGAGAGAGUGUUCAAUGAGGUCACGUGUAGAAUACGCUUAGCAUUGUGCCUGGCAAUUAGUGUGUACUUAAUAAAUAGUUGUUAUUUUUAUCAUCAUAAUAGCUAUUAUUAUUAGUUUUAGUGUCAGAAUUUUAGUGAACUAUAGAUUCUUAAGGAAUUGUCAUAGAAAGGUGAGAAUAACCCCUAACAGAGUGACACUUGUCACAGAACCAAGAGACAGUCUCUGAAGGUGGCCCUGUCUGUUCUUCUGGGUUGGUUCUUGGUGGCUGGGAAUGCCUUGAUCCAUCAACCAACCAACAGAUCAUGUGAUAGAAUUAAAAUGAUUCUCUA